This 497-nucleotide ribosomal RNA is filed under the name uncultured bacterium. RNAcentral's name for it is "partial 16S ribosomal RNA". It matches the Rfam family "Bacterial small subunit ribosomal RNA", at positions 28 to 507 of the family's 1533-position model. The record is from RNAcentral.
GAUGAACGCUGGCGGCGUGCCUAAUACAUGCAAGUCGAGCGAACAGACGAGGAGCUUGCUCCUCUGACGUUAGCGGCGGACGGGUGAGUAGCACGUGGAUAACCUACCUAUAAGACUGGGAUAACUUCGGGAAACCGGAGCUAAUACCGGAUAAUAUAUUGAACCGCAUGGUUCAAUAGUGAAAGACGGUUUUGCUGUCACUUAUAGAUGGAUCCGCGCCGCAUUAGCUAGUUGGUAAGGUAACGGCUUACCAAGGCAACGAUGCGUAGCCGACCUGAGAGGGUGAUCGGCCACACUGGAACUGAGACACGGUCCAGACUCCUACGGGAGGCAGCAGUAGGGAAUCUUCCGCAAUGGGCGAAAGCUUGACGGAGCAACGCCGCGUGAGUGAUGAAGGUCUUCGGAUCGUAAAACUCUGUUAUUAGGGAAGAACAAAUGUGUAGGUAACUAUGCACGUCUUGACGGUACCUAAUCAGAAAGCCACGGCUAACUACGUG